AAUGAACGCUGGCGGCGGGCCUAAUACAUGCAAGUCGAGCGGACAGACGGGGAGCUCGCGCCCCUACCGGUAGCGGGUGACGGGCGGGUAAGACAUGGAUAACCAUCCACUAAGACUGGGGUAACUACGGGAGGAAGGAGACGCUAAUAGCUCAUAUAAUGUACCGCAGGGUUCAAUAGUGCAUGACGGCUUUGCCGAUACAAUUAGCCGGAUCCGGGUCGGAUUAGCUAGUUGGUAAGGUAACGGCACACCAAGGCGACGAUGCGUAGCCGGCCUGAGAGGGUGAUCGGCCACACUGGAACUGAGACACGGUCCAGACUCCUACGGGAGGCAGCAGUGGGGAAUCUUCCACAAUGGGCGCAAGCCUGACGCAGCCACACCGCGUGAGUGAUGAAGGCCUUCGGAUCGUAAAGCUCUUUUAUUAGGGAAGAACAGCAGUAGAAUAAACUCUCCACGUCUUGACGGUACCUAAACAGAAAGCCACGGCUAACUACGUG
This 497-nucleotide ribosomal RNA is filed under the name uncultured bacterium. RNAcentral's name for it is "partial 16S ribosomal RNA". It matches the Rfam family "Bacterial small subunit ribosomal RNA", at positions 29 to 507 of the family's 1533-position model. The record is from RNAcentral.